CCAGGUGUGAUGAGUUCCUAUUACCGCCCCAGUCUGAUUAAUUAUGACUGAUUGGUAUCCCCUGAUCCUGC
This is a small nucleolar RNA of Salarias fasciatus (jewelled blenny), 71 nucleotides long. Lineage: Eukaryota; Metazoa; Chordata; Actinopteri; Blenniiformes; Blenniidae. The record is from Ensembl.